UACGGAGGGUGCAAGCGUUAAUCGGAAUUACUGGGCGUAAAGCGCGCGAGGCGGCUUGUUAAGCCAGAUGUGAAAGCCCCCGGGCUUAACCUGGGAACUGCAUUUGGAACUGGCAGGCUAGAGACAGAAGAGGGUGGUAGAAUUUCCUGUGUAGCGGUGAAAUGCGUAGAUAUAGGAAGGAAUACCAGUGCGAAGGCGGCCACCUGGUCUGAUACUGACGCUGAGGUGCGAAAGCGUGGGGAGCAAACAGGAUUAAUACCCGGAGUAGUC
Molecule: ribosomal RNA, 270 nt
Filed under: uncultured bacterium
Lineage: Bacteria
Description: partial 16S ribosomal RNA
Rfam family: Bacterial small subunit ribosomal RNA
Source: RNAcentral